UACGGGGGGGGCAAGCGUUGUUCGGAUUUACUGGGCGUAAAGGGCGCGUAGGCGGCGCGGUAAGUCACUUGUGAAAUCUCUGAGCUUAACUCAGAACGGUCAAGUGAUACUGCAGUGCUAGAGUGCAGAAAGGGCAAUCGGAAUUCUUGGUGUAGCGGUGAAAUGCGUAGAUAUCAAGAGGAACACCUGAGGCGAAGGCGGGUUGCUAGGCUGACACUGACGCUGACAGCGCGAAAGCCAGGGGAGCAAACGGG
Molecule: ribosomal RNA, 254 nt
Filed under: uncultured bacterium
Lineage: Bacteria
Description: partial 16S ribosomal RNA
Rfam family: Bacterial small subunit ribosomal RNA
Source: RNAcentral